UCGGGAUAGCUCAGCUGGUAGAGCAGAGGACU
RNAcentral lists this transfer RNA (32 nucleotides) under Streptocarpus ionanthus subsp. grandifolius. RNAcentral's name for it is "partial tRNA-Phe". Lineage: Eukaryota; Viridiplantae; Streptophyta; Magnoliopsida; Lamiales; Gesneriaceae. RNAcentral also lists the same sequence under 9 other names. The record is from RNAcentral.